RNAcentral lists this long non-coding RNA (5351 nucleotides) under Jatropha curcas. RNAcentral's name for it is "long non-coding RNA (JCUR_LNC001133)". The record is from RNAcentral. Lineage: Eukaryota; Viridiplantae; Streptophyta; Magnoliopsida; Malpighiales; Euphorbiaceae.
GUCUACCUCUGAAUGAAGUCUUUUUAUUAUAGGCAACCCAAUACUCAUUCUUUGAACCAAUUUAUUAGAAGGGUAUAAAUCAACAAGAUUAAAACCAGUAGUCGCUUCAGUUAAUUUCCUUAUAGUUGGCACAAAUACUUCUUCUCCUUUACAUACUUUACCAAAAACCGCUCUCGAAAUAAUACUAAACAUUAAAGUUUCAAUCAUUCGGCUUAGGUUUAUUGCAGAUCCAGCGCUAGAAGCAAUCGAGCUUAUUAAUUUUGAUACUUCUUCUUCUCUUACUGAUCUGAACGACUGCACACGACUAACACUCAAUAACUCUGUCGUGCAAAUCUUUCGUAAUUGUCUCCAAUAGUCUCCAUAUUGAGCAAAAGCUAUGUCUGUUCCAUCAUAAGUUGCUUGAAAAGAAGAAGGGAUAAAAGGUCUAUCAGCAAAAAUUAUAUCAUGGGUUUUCAUAAUUUCUUUUGCAAUUUCUGCAGAAGAAAUUACAAUAUUAGAAUUCUCACCGAGUUGAAUUUGGAAAAUAGGUCCAUAUUUCUUAGCCAAGUUGGUUAAACAGUGAUGGGGUGGCGGACCAAAUAAAUGGUGGAAGCCGCCGAUUAUAGGUAGCUUCGAUGGCCCUGGCGGUAGAUUUAGAUACUUGGGUUUUCUCCAUAAUAACUUAAACAAGAAAAUUAUGAAGAUCAAGAAAGUGAAAACAAGUGGAAAGGAAAGAUGGCUGUCCAUGGCAAAGGAUGAUAAAGGAGAGUGAUAAAAAGAUUUGUUAGGUUUGAUGAUGAGAAUGCAGUUUUAGUCCACUCUAUAUAUACAGAGAGCUGACCGAGUAUGGGGGUUCGUGUACACGUAUGCUGUUAAUGUACAUUAAAUUCCAAGUCGAAGAAUUUUCCUUCAGGAAAGGAAAGUAUGCUGAUUAAACUGGCAGGCAGGAUCUUAAGAACCGAAACUAAUUAUAUCUUAUUAAUUUAACUUUCUUGCUUACACAGUUACACCCGGUGCAGGGGCGGGCGCAGGCCUGGCCGCCUGGGUCCCCAAAAUGAAAAAAAAAAAAAAAAAAAAAAAACAUCUUUUUUAUAAUUUUUAUUUUAUCAUAUACAGUUAAGUAAAAUUAUUUUUUAACCCUUAAAUAUGUUGGUUGGGAUCGCUAGUGACCCGGUGCAUGAAUUUCAUGUACCAUUUUUAUUAUAUUGUUAUAAUUUUGUCAUUUUUUUAUAUUAUCAUAGAAAUACUCUUCCUUUGAACUACAAUAUUAUUUAUAAUUAUUUUGAUAUAGUAUACAUUCCGUGUAAAUAAAUCUUUUUUAUAUAUAUAUAUAUAUAUAUAUAUAUAUAUAUACUUAAAUCUGGCUUCAUUUUAACCGUACCCAGUAAACUUUGGUAAUCCUUUAUUAAUUUUCUAAUAUUUUAUUUGCUGGUCCGUCUUUUCAGUCGCGAAAGACUGCGUCUAUAUUGUAUUAUAUCGUUAGUGUUAGUCUUUGGUCAAUGCUUUAAUUAUAUGGCUGGUCUUACCUCUUUCUUUUUUUUGGGUCUUUUCAUGAAUUCCUAAUUAAAUAGGUAUGGUAGUAGCUUUCAGUCUGAGACUAAGAUAUUUAAAAACAAUAAAAAAAAAUUCGUAAUGUAUAUAUAAAAUAUAAUAUCUGUGUGCGAUUGGAGUAAGAUUUUGAAUAUUUUGCUGGCUUCAACCCUUUAAAGUUUAUAAUAUAAUAAUGCAACUAAAAAAUUUGUUCACAUCAAAUGUCAAAAAUCUUGAUUAUUUAUAUUAUCUUUAUAUCUAUUUAUUAUUACAUAUUACUCCAAUUUUGGGUAGCUAGGCCUAGCUGCCGGCUCCUCGACAGGGACGAAGUUUGGGUUCAGGAUCAGGGAAGGAUGGUUGGGUCAAAUUGCCAGAAGGCCCAUCAAGUUUGAACAUCAUAAAUAACUACUGGGUACACGGCAUUGUAGAUUAACUGAUUGAGACGUAAAUGUCUAAAAUUAUAUGGAUAAAUACGACAUUUUAAUAUUUUAUAAGAAAAGUAUUAUACCUUACGAAUUUUGAAUGAUUGAAAUUAAAAAAGGAUUGUGGUUUCUGAAAAUUUGAAUACCUUACUGUAAUACAUUUUUUUUAUUCCUUAUCAAUCCUCUUCUUAGACUAAUAAAACAAUGGGUGAUUAAUAUAUAAUAUCCUAAAACAAUGGGGUAAUAAUAAUAAGUUUUUAAAGACGUGGUCAGAUUCUAGAAGUUGUUGACUUUUAACUUUUUAAUGAUUCUAGAAGUUUUUUUUUUUUUUUUUAAGCACAAAGGGAGUUGGGUUGAUUUCACAUAAAAUAGUUUCAUAAUUUGUGUUGUAAUUUGAAUAGAUUAAAAAAACAAUACUCUUACAUUAGUAUCUAUAAAAAUAAUACUCACUCCGAUUCCUUCUUUCUUCUUUGAUUUAUUACGAAAUAUAGUUCACUUUUUUCACUAUAAUUAAUCUUUAAAUCAUCUACUAUAUCUUUAUUAAAUUUUUUUUAUUUUCAAUCUCAUUAAUUUUUACUUUAUUUUCUAUUAUAAUAAUUACUCAUGUAUUAUUUAAGAUGGACAUAAUAGAAAAGUUAUAUAAAUAAAAUUAUCUUUUAACCGUAAUACUUCCUCUGUUUCAAAAUAUAAAUCGUUUAAGAUUUUUACAUAAAAAUUAAAAAAGUAAUUAAUUCUCUUAGAUUAUAACAAAAUCAAGGGUAAUUUGACAUUAUCCUUUAUCUCAAAACCAAUAAUUACUUGUGAAAGUAUUUAUUAUAUCUAAUGUAAAUAAGGAUAAUAUUGAAAAACCAUCAUUUAUUACUCUUUAAGCUCCUUAAAACAACUUAAUUUAUGAGAUAAAAUAACUACCAAAAAACGAUUUAUAUUUUAAGACAGAGAUAAUAAUUGUUAUUUCUUAAUCUAUUUGAAAAUAAAAAGUGGAUUAUCUUUUGGAAAGACAGGAGUAUACUCUUAUGUUAGUAUCUAUAAAAAUUAAAUGAUCCAUAAUUAAAUUGUUCUUGAAAUUAAUCAAAUAUUUGGUUAAAUAUAAUUUAUUUCAAGAUUUAAGAUUUGUAUUUUAGUUUUGGUUAUAAUCGAAAUUUAAUUAAUGAUAACAUAUAUAUAGUAAUUUGAUUAUUAUAUUUAUUGACAAAAAGCAUAUUAAAUAAGAGUAAAAUAGUAAAAUUUAAAUAUUAUUCAUUUUCAAAAAGAAAUAUAGCAUAACAAUUUAGAAUAAAAAAAAAGAAAAUAGGAUAAAAAUUAUGAGAAUGAAGGAAUAUUAAUAAUUUAUGUAAAAUAGAUCAUCACUUCAUUAAGGAGAAAUUGAAGUUGCUAUUGCUGAAAAAAAAACAAAUGUCUAAAAGUUUAGUUGUGUUGUCGUGCUCUCUAACUUUCGACUAUUGAGAGCAUUUGCCUAUACGAGAGAUGCUAUUGGACAAUUUCAAAUUUAUUAAUCGAUCAAAUGAUUUCCAUAAGCUUUGGAUAAUUGACCCCAAUACAAAUUGAAGUCUUAUAUUUCUGACUAAUAGAAACAGACUGAUGCCAUUGUAAAAAGUAAUUAAAGUUUUCAAAAAAAAAAAAAAAGUUUAUUUAUUUAUUUAUCUACUGAGAGGUUGAAUCGAUUGAAACGUUUCAAAGCAAUUAAAAUAUGCUUGCACUAAAAAAUAAUAUUAAAAAAACAAAGAAAUAAUUUCCAUCGUUCCUUUUUUUUUUUUUUCUCUCUCUCUCUCUCUCCCUCAAUAUGUUACACAGCAUGGAUCAUCACAUCCACAACAUCAACGACCGCAGCUAGCACACGACAGCAUUGCAGAUAUUUUAUUUUAGUUCAACUAAAACCUGAAACUGUUUGCUUACUAUUUUCUAUUCCUUUUAUUUUUAAUUAUAUUUUGAUUUGAUACUUAAGUUAUUUUCUAAUUUAAAAUUUACAGUAUUGGAUAUGUACGUAACUGGAAUUUUUACUUUCUCAUGUGUAUUCUAAACAUAAAAUUAACUCAUACAAGGAUUUAAAAAAAAAAAAAAAAAAAAGUAACUCAUGUUCAAAACGACAAUAUAAUUUAAUAAUAAUUAUUAUUCGAACGACAUAUAAUACAUAAGCUUAAAAUGCGAACUCACAGCUAAUUUCACAAAUAUAAAGAUUUUACAUAACACGGGAAUGGCAGCAAGGGAUGGGAAUGACAUAGAGGGCAUUGCUUCUUUUUACAGUAACACUUAACGAUUCUGUCAUAUCCAGAUUUUCAGGGUUCACGCCAGAUGGAAGUUUCCAAUCAAAAUGGUAUAAUAAAUGAGCAAGUGGAAGUUCAACGUUAGCCAUGCCAAAUGAUAUUCCAGGACACAUUCUUCUUCCAGCACCAAAUGGGAUAAAUUCAAAAUGUGCACCUUUGUAAUCAAUCGAAUUAUCUAAAAAUCUUUCUGGAUUGAAUUUCUCAGGUUCUCUCCAAUAUUCGGGAUUUCUUCCGAUAGCCCAAGCAUUCACAAUAACUCUAGUCUUUUCAGGUAUAUCGUAUCCGUUAACGAUGCAGUGUUCUCUGCAUUCUCUUGGAACUAAUAAUGGAACAGGAGGAUGUAGUCUCAAAGUUUCUUUUAUAACCAAUUUUAAGUAGUUGAGUUCGUUGAGACUUGCUUCAUCCACGUCCCCUUUUGCUUCAAAGACUAGUCUCACCUCUGCUUGUGCCUUUUCCAUCACUUCUGGAUUUUUCAUCAUUUCUGACAUUGCCCAUUCUAUUGGUGUAGAAGAUGUAUCACUGCCCGCAAUAAACAUGUCCUGAAAUACAUUUCGUAAUUAACUUGAGUAAAUCAAAAAAAUAAGGCUGACCAAAAUGAAAGAGAGCUAAAAUUAGUUUUAACGACAACUAUUAUAUGUACGUGGGAAAACCUAUAAAGAAAAAAGAAAGAGAGCUAACCAAAAUGACGGCUUUGAUGUUCUCCGUGCUCAAAGAGAAGUCGAGGUCUCCUUUCUCCAAAAGAUUCAGAAGGACGUCGACAAGAUCUUCUUCUUCACCUUCUGCAACAAUUUUUCCAGCUUGCUUUCUAGCUCUAUGCUCAUCAACCACGUCUUGGAUUAUCUUGUCUACCUCUGAAUGAAGUCUUUUUAUUAUAGGCAACCCAAUACUCAUUCUUUGAAGCAAUUUAUUAGAAGGGUAUAAAUCAACAAGAUUAAAACCAGUAGUCGCUUCAGUUAAUUUCCUUAUAGUUGGCACAAAUACUUCUUCUCCUUUACAUACUUUACCAAAAACCGCUCUCGAAAUAAUACUAAACAUUAAAGUUUCAAUCAUUCGGCUUAGGUUUAUUGCAGAUCCAGCGCUAGAAGCAAUCGAGCUUAUUAAUUUUGAUACUUCUUCUUCUCUUAUUGAUCUGAACGACUGCACACGAUUAACACUUAGC